Molecule: ribosomal RNA, 439 nt
Filed under: uncultured bacterium
Lineage: Bacteria
Description: bacterial SSU rRNA
Rfam family: Bacterial small subunit ribosomal RNA
Source: RNAcentral
AUUGAACGCUGGCGGCAUGCCUUACACAUGCAAGUCGAACGGCAGCACGGGAGCUUGCUCCUGGUGGCGAGUGGCGAACGGGUGAGUAAUACAUCGGAACGUACCCUGAAGUGGGGGAUAACGUAGCGAAAGUUACGCUAAUACCGCAUAUUCUGUGAGCAGGAAAGAGGGGGAUCGCAAGACCUCUUGCUUUAGGAGCGGCCGAUGUCGGAUUAGCUAGUUGGUGAGGUAAAGGCUCACCAAGGCGACGAUCCGUAGCGGGUCUGAGAGGAUGAUCCGCCACACUGGGACUGAGACACGGCCCAGACUCCUACGGGAGGCAGCAGUGGGGAAUUUUGGGACAAUGGGCGCAAGCCUGAUCCAGCCAUGCCGCGUGAGUGAAGAAGGCCUCGGUUGUAAGACGUCUUUCGGUUCGGGGGUAAGGGAAAAGUUUAGGUAC